CGCUAAACACGAAUACCAGUACAGUCGAGUCUGCUUCGUAUUUCAUUGUCAGAGGUGAAAUUCUUGGAUUUAUGAAAGACGAACUACUGUGAAAGCAUUUGCCAAGGAUGUUUUCAUUAAUCAAGAACGAAAGUUGGGGGCUCGAAGACGAUUAGAUACCGUCGUAGUCUCAACCAUAAACGAUGCCGACUACGGAUUGGCGGACGUUUUUGCAUGACUCCGUCAGCACCUUGAAAGAAAUCAAAAUUUUUGGGUUCCGGGGGGAAAAUGGUCCCAAGGCCGAAACCUAAAGCACUUGAAGGACCGGCCCCUCCAUGCGUGUAAACGGCAGCUUAAUUGGACAACGCCUGGGAAAAAUUUACACGUCCAAAAAUUAGAAAGAUUGACCGAUUGAAAAGCCCUUUCAGAGUCCACGGAUUGUUCUGCCAAGCCCUUCCCCACUUCUUCGUACAAAAAGAAUAGUGCUUUCACCCAA
Molecule: ribosomal RNA, 475 nt
Filed under: Desmodesmus granulatus
Lineage: Eukaryota; Viridiplantae; Chlorophyta; Chlorophyceae; Sphaeropleales; Scenedesmaceae
Description: SSU rRNA
Rfam family: Eukaryotic small subunit ribosomal RNA
Source: RNAcentral